UAUGGAAAUAGACAUUACGUAUUUACAAUGCAAUUACGUUUACCUUAGAAAAUCAAUCCUCGAGAGCCGUUUGGAAGACAACAAGCUAAGCAAGAACUUUCCUAUGUCGAUUCAAGAGAGAUGAAGCAGAAUCCCAGAAAUCAAAGAGAGUUGGAUUGGGUUGAAAUCUUUUGUUUCGGUUGCACAUGCCUACAGCUGCACUGGCCGAGAACUAUGCUGAAGAAAUGGCUCAACAGACAGUCGGGGGAGUCGGAUUUCAGUGCCGACGAGCGCGACAGCGAGAGCGAAGUCGAUGAUGAUGAAGAAGCAGAAACGUGCGACUGGGAAUGGGAACAGGAAGGGGAACGGGAAUUGGGUGACGCCUACAAGAAAUCAGAGUGUUUUCCUUCCAAGUUAAGAAGACGAAACUCAGAGACCUGUCGUGCGCAAUAUAUAAACACCAAAGAACUCAGGAUUUGUGUUGGCACGUGGAAUGUCGGAGGAAGAUUGCCGCCUGAUGACCUAGAUAUUAAAGAUUGGCUAGACAUGGAAGAGCCUGCUGAUAUAUAUGUGCUCGGUCUUCAGGAGAUCGUUCCAUUAAAUGCCGGCAACAUCUUCGGCGCUGAGGACAACCGACCAGUUCCAAAGUGGGAAUAUAUUAUCCGGGAAACAUUAAAUAAAAUUCAACCUGUCAAGAAAAAGUUCAAAUGUCACAGUGAUCCUCCUUCUCCAUCGAGGUUCAAGCCAUCAGAUGAUGUUCCGGUUAUUGAAGACGAGAUAUUGCUUGAAACUGAUAGUGACAGUGAUAGAGAAGUCCAUCCGGUGGAUGAAAAAUUUUUUGGUUUUAAUAUGAACAACGAUGGAUCUCCCACAAACGGAAAGGAAUCCAGAUUCUGUGAGGAAGCCCACCGCUUGGGAGAGACUGAUUCAUGCCUACCGAAAGAAGUGGAUAUCGAGAAGCAAUCUUCCGGGAAGAGUUUGAAUAGGUUACAUUGCCUUAGGUUGACGGACUACAAUAUGAAUUCAGAAACAUCAGUGGCCCAAACUAAGGCGUUAACCAGAAUGCUUAGCGGGUCUGAAAGGAUUGGUCUGGUAUGGCCAGAGAUGCCAUUGAACUUGCUUUCUCAACGUGGACUAGAUAGGAUGAAUUCCUUCAAGUCAGUUAACUCUUUCAAAGCAUCUAAGUCUUUCAAGUUGUCGACUCGUGGUGAUGAUAAUGGACAAUCAGACAUGAUUUUGAUACCGGAUCUUGAUCUAGAAUCCGUUAUGAAUAGAAAAAGGAGAUCAGCUUAUGUAAGGGUUGUUAGUAAGAAAAUGGUUGGAAUUUUUCUGACUAUAUGGGUUCGUAGAAGCUUACGGAGGCACAUCCAAAACUUGAAGGUAUCUACUGUUGGUGUUGGUGUUAUGGGCUAUAUUGGCAACAAGGGAUCAGUAUCUGUCAGCAUGUCUAUAUAUCAAACACUGUUUUGCUUUAUCUGUACUCACCUAACAUCGGGGGAGAAGGAGGGGGAUGGACAUCGAAGAAAUGCUGAUGUGCAUGAAAUACAACGGAGGACGCAAUUCAAGACUGUUCCUGGUAUCAGAUUCCCUAAAACAAUCCAUGACCAUGAGCGAAUGAUAUGGUUAGGGGAUUUGAAUUACAGAAUCAACUUAUCAUAUGAUAAAACACGAGAACUCAUCUCCAAGAGAGCUUGGUCCAGCUUGAGUGAGAGUGACCAGCUGAUACGAGAACUAAAGAAAGGUCGUGCCUUUGAUGGGUGGUCAGAAGGUACUUUAACUUUCCCGCCAACAUACAAAUAUGAGUUUAAUUCGGAGAAGUACGUUGGGGAGGAUCCAAAGGCCGGAAGGCGUACUCCAGCUUGGUGUGACCGCAUUCUCUCGUUUGGAAAGGGGAUUAGGCUAUUGAAAUAUAAGAGGGUUGAGCAGAAGCUUUCAGAUCAUCGUCCUGUGGCUGCCACUUUCACAGCCGAGGUUGAGGUCUUCUGUCAUAGGAAGCUUCAAAGAGCUCUAACAUUCACAGACGCAGAGCUAGAAAAUGGCGAUGUUAUAUCGGAGAUGGAUAUUGAUGCCGGCAUGAGCCGUUUGAGGCUUGGAGAGGCCAGGCGCCCUGCUGGAUGAGUGGCCAGGAUUUCACGGACACAUGCCCGUGACUCACGUCUUCAAUCUCUUCCCUCACGAGUGGCACUUCUCAUGUCUAAAUCAAUGCCCGGCUAGAACUCUCUGGGUGGGAUCGUUAGGACGGUGCGGCCUGCUGGGCAAACCUGAAGAUACACCAAGGGAGAAGCGGGGUGAGUCCCCACAACUAUCUCAGUUCAAUACAUUUUUUGUUCGUGAGAUCCAACGGAGGAAAUCACCCAUUACUUCAGGUCCAUCCCUGAUCGAUGAUGUAUAUUGUUUUUUGUAGAAUUUGUAUAUUCAAAACUCCUGAUUGAUUUCUCAAGAAUGUAAUUGAUAGAUCCCCUUUCCACUACAAGAUUGUCCUCUGAACCCAAUCAAAUACAUCCAAACAAGAGACCUUAUGGUUGGUUGAUGGCUGUCUAA
RNA transcript from Magnolia sinica, 2520 nucleotides. It is a transcript of the gene named type IV inositol polyphosphate 5-phosphatase 3, with no coding region annotated. The transcript has 12 exons. Lineage: Eukaryota; Viridiplantae; Streptophyta; Magnoliopsida; Magnoliales; Magnoliaceae. The record is from RefSeq and is a predicted model, not a curated record.